AUACGUAGGUGGCAAGCGUUAUCCGGAUUUACUGGGCAUAAAGGGAGCGUAGGCGGAUUUUUAAGUGAGAUGUGAAAUACUCGGGCUUAACCUGAGUGCCGCAUUUCAAACUGGAAGUCUAGAGUGCAGGAGAGGAGAAGGGAAUUCCUAGUGUAGCGGUGAAAUGCGUAGAGAUUAGGAAGAACACCAGUGGCGAAGGCGCUUCUCUGGACUGUAACUGACGCUGAGGCUCGAAAGCGUGGGGAGC
This 247-nucleotide ribosomal RNA is filed under the name uncultured bacterium. Its description in RNAcentral is "partial 16S ribosomal RNA". It matches the Rfam family "Bacterial small subunit ribosomal RNA", at positions 523 to 769 of the family's 1533-position model. The record is from RNAcentral.